CUUGUUCUUGCACCUUCCAGUCCUUCUAAAGUAAGAUGCUGUGAGCAGCUGACUCGCGACAUGGGGAGGAGCACACUGUUGUAAAUAACCAUCGUGGGAGAACAGGAGGCCUAUUCUGGACCCCACACCCUGACAGGUCCUUCUCUCCCCAGGCUCUCGUUUAAUCUGGAGGAACAUACACAGGCUGGUUGGAUGCAAGUCUGCGUGUCGGGAUUCAGAGAACAGACUCAGGCAGUUGUUGAUUACAUCAAACGCGUCACUGGGCCUGCGGAGGAGGGGAGAGAUUCCUGAACCAACCAUGGGAAUCUGAAACGAAAUCUCCUCUGGACUUUGGGGUUAAAGACUUUCCAUCUGGGAGCCUGCAAGCAGCUCCAAAGUCAACUUCAGUCCAUCUCACUCUCCUACAGAAACUUUACAGCUGACACUGUGUUUAGGGCCGGAAAACGAUCUGUCUGUCCUAGGAUGCUGCUCUGCUUGGAGGCCAGGCGACUCUGAACUUUCAACUUCUAUUGCAGUAACUGCUUCACGUUAAGCUCUGAUCAGUUUGUCUACACCAUUUCUCUCUGAGAAUCUCUGCAGAUUCUGAUCUUUCUGUUUUACUUUAAAUACCUUUAAAGACUAUUUCUAAAUGUCAGUUAAUUCAACUUAUUUUUGAGUGUGUGAAACAAGAGUACUGUAAACAGUGAAUAAAUGGGAGAUAGAUGAUGAAAAAUAAAUGAGU
This is a long non-coding RNA of Bos indicus x Bos taurus (hybrid cattle), 721 nucleotides long. The record is from Ensembl. NCBI's taxonomy places the organism in Eukaryota, Metazoa, Chordata, Mammalia, Artiodactyla, Bovidae.